RNAcentral lists this unclassified non-coding RNA (285 nucleotides) under Hevea brasiliensis (rubber tree). The record is from RNAcentral. Lineage: Eukaryota; Viridiplantae; Streptophyta; Magnoliopsida; Malpighiales; Euphorbiaceae.
GCCUAAAUCUGCUGCUGUGAAGCCGAAGGCCAAGUCUGUUGCUGCUGCAAAGCCCAAAGCAAAGGCUGCUGCUCCCAAACUGAAAGCUAAAUCUGUUGCUGCAAAGCCAAAAGCUAAGGCUGCAGCGCUGAAGCCAAAGACUGCCGGUCGCCCUGCUAAGGCAGCUAAGACCUCGGCUAAAGCAGCUCCUGGGAAGAAGCCUGCACCGGUUGCUGCAAAGAAGCCGAAGUCAGUGAAAAAAGCUCCAGCGGCUAAGAAGGCUCCGUUGGCCAAAAAAGCUACGGU